Molecule: ribosomal RNA, 465 nt
Filed under: uncultured bacterium
Lineage: Bacteria
Description: partial 16S ribosomal RNA
Rfam family: Bacterial small subunit ribosomal RNA
Source: RNAcentral
CCUACGGGGGGCUGCAGUAGGGAAUUUUCCACAAUGGGCGAAAGCCUGAUGGAGCAACGCCGCGUGGGUGAAGAAGGUCUUCGGAUCGUAAAACCCUGUUGUUAGAGAAGAAAGUGCGUGCGAGUAACUGUUCACGUUUCGACGGUAUCUAACCAGAAAGCCCCGGCUAACUACGUGACAGCAGCCGCGGUAAUACGUAGGUGGCAAGCGUUAUCCGGAUUUGUUGGGGGUAAAGGGAACGCAGGCGGUCUUUUAAGUCUGAUGUGAAAGCCUUCGGCUUAACCGGAGUAGGGCAUUGGAGACUGGGAGACUGGAGUGCAGAAGAGGAGAGUGGAACUCCAUGUGUAGCGGUGAAAUGCGUAGAUAUAUGGAAGAACACCAGUGGCGAAAGCGGCUCGCUGGUCUGUAACUGACGCUGAGGUUCGAAAGCGUGGGUAGCAAACAGGAUUAGAUACCCGAGUAGUC